Molecule: ribosomal RNA, 374 nt
Filed under: uncultured bacterium
Lineage: Bacteria
Description: bacterial SSU rRNA
Rfam family: Bacterial small subunit ribosomal RNA
Source: RNAcentral
GUAGGGUGCAAGCGUUGUCCGGAUUUACUGGGCGUAAAGAGCGCGUAGGCGGUCUGUUAAGUGUGAAGUGAAAUCUCCAGGGCUCAACCCGGAAACUGCUUCGCAUACUGGCAGACUUGAGGAAUGCAGAGGUUUGUGGAAUUCCUGGUGUAACGGUGAAAUGUGUUGAUAUCAGGAGGAACACCCAUGGCGAAGGCAGCAAACUGGGCAUUAUCUGACGCUGAGGCGCGAAAGCGUGGGUAGCAAACAGGAUUAGAUACCCUGGUAGUCCACGCCCUAAACGAUGGAUACUAGGCGUAAGAGGUAUCGACCCCUCUUGUGCCGCAGCCAACGCAUUAAGUAUCCCGCCUGGGGAGUACGGCCGCAAGGUUGAA